RNAcentral lists this long non-coding RNA (409 nucleotides) under Ictidomys tridecemlineatus (thirteen-lined ground squirrel). RNAcentral's name for it is "lncRNA (ENSSTOG00000034908.1)". Lineage: Eukaryota; Metazoa; Chordata; Mammalia; Rodentia; Sciuridae. The record is from RNAcentral.
UGUGUCCUCCCAUGCAGGCCCGGGACUCGGUCCGCGCCUCGGCUGUCGGGCUCCUGGGGACGUUGGUGCGACAGGGCCAGAGUGGGCUCCGUGUGGGGCUCCGCGGUCCCCUGCGGAGGCUCAUCCUACAGAGUCUGGUGCCGCUGCUGUUGCGCCUUCACGACCCCAGUCGGGACGCUGCUGAGAGCUCGGAGUGGACGCUGGCCCGCUGUGACCAGGCUCUUCGCUGGGGCCUGCUGGAGGAGAUGGUCACUGUGGCCCACUAUGACAGUCCUGAGGCUCUAAGCCGUGUCUGCCGGCGCCUGAUUCAGCUCUACCCCAACCACCUGCCCCGCUUCCUGAGCCAGACCCAGGGCUAUCUGCGGAGCCCUCAGGACCCACUGCGGCGCGCUGCCACUGUGCUCCUAGG